UUGGUGUUUUUUUUGAGGGUAGCUGAUACACGAGUCAGUGGGAUUCUGUAUUUAAACCUUUUAAAAAUCAGGAAAUCUCUAUAUUACUAUAAUUCCUAUUGAAUUGUGUUCUGUAUAUUCUUAGUGGUGUCGAUCACUAACAUUUGGGGAAAACAUCAAUUCAAUACGUUUCCAUAUAUAUUAUAAUUCUCUUUGUUCAAUACGCUACGAGGG
Manduca sexta (tobacco hornworm) is the source of this 213-nucleotide long non-coding RNA. RefSeq lists it as uncharacterized. NCBI's taxonomy places the organism in Eukaryota, Metazoa, Arthropoda, Insecta, Lepidoptera, Sphingidae. The record is from RefSeq and is a predicted model, not a curated record. The transcript has 2 exons.